Dicentrarchus labrax (European seabass) is the source of this 1225-nucleotide long non-coding RNA. RefSeq lists it as uncharacterized. The transcript has 3 exons. NCBI's taxonomy places the organism in Eukaryota, Metazoa, Chordata, Actinopteri, Moronidae. The record is from RefSeq and is a predicted model, not a curated record.
UAGCACUCAGGUAUUGAUUAGUCUGAAUAUCAGUGAUUAUUGAGGCCCUGCUACCUGCUGUAUUAGCUGUUUCAGGUGUGAAUAUUCAGAGCCCCCCCGGCGGUGCGUUCAGGCUGUCUGUAUAUUUUCCCUUCAGAUUGAGGAAUAAACACCUGAUGAAACUCUGAUGCAAACGGAGGCUGAGUGUUUCCCGCCGCCGGAGGCUCUUCUGGCAGAACUACACAGCCUCCUCUGACACGUCUCACCAAAAUAAAACACGUUUGAUGCCGACACGCUUCGCAGGACAAAUCCAGCGUGUGUUUUCUCAUCCGAUAUGUUUUUCAUCCCUUUAAUGUUUGUUCUGACUAAAGAUCAUUUUAAUCAGUUUAGUCAGAGCUCUCGGGGCUCAUUCACCUCCGUUCGGUUCGGUCUGUAAUCCGCCACGUGAGCGAGCAGCAGCCAGGUUGCAUCACGGCGUUAAUAUCAGUGAACACUCAGAGUGUGGAAGUUAAACCAGGACCAGCAGCGGUCUGGAGACGGGGGGAGUUCAUCCUUUCAUAUAACAGUGAUUUGUGACUCUGAGACGCAGAAUUAAUAAAGUUUUGAGGUUUUUUUUAGGUCAGGCCGCCCUGGAGGACCGCUGGGUCUGACGUUGUUUCUAUUUCAUCCUCAUAAAGAAAACACAACAGUGAGUUCCUCCACUUCAGAUCUCCUCUGACUGGUUCACUUCUGGCUGCACGCGGCAUUUUAUUUUGAAAAUGUACCGGAUUCUCUAUAGACGAUAUGUCACUUCCUUGUUUAUUUAGAAUGACCACGCCCCCUUUUGGGUGAAACAAGUGCUGUAAAAGUCCCCCAGUGGUUCUACGUCUAAAAGUUUACUUCCCCAAAGAGUGAAGGUCAGUAGUAGAAGAAGAGCUCUGUGGCUUUAAUCCACAGAGAGGAUGAAGAUGUCUGUGUCCAACUCUUCCUCACAGGUUAGUUAAUGACAGACAGUCAGUGAGUGUGUCUGUGUCCAACUCUUCCUCACAGGUUAGUUAAUGACAGACAGUCAGUGAGUGUGUCUGUGUCCAACUCUUCCUCACAGGUUAGUUAAUGACAGACAGUCAGUGAGUGUGUGUGUGUCCAACUCUUCCUCACAGGUUAGUUAAUGAUGUUACUGAGUCAAUGUGAGCAGAUUGUGUCUGUAGACUGAAGAGAAUCAGAGUCUCACUGAUGGUGGAAAUAAAGGUUUUACUUCCUUAAAACA